GCUGGAAGCUGCAGGGUCUGACCAUGUGGACAAAUGAAAUGUCUUUUGUCUGCAUUUGCAGUCUUCCUAGAAUAAAUUGGAGGUCUCUGUCUGGUUUAGGACAGCUAGCUAAACCUGAUCGUUCCCCUCCAUACACU
Chelonoidis abingdonii (Abingdon island giant tortoise) is the source of this 137-nucleotide non-coding RNA. Ensembl annotates it as small Cajal body-specific RNA 3. Its record names the gene SCARNA3. Lineage: Eukaryota; Metazoa; Chordata; Testudines; Testudinidae. The record is from Ensembl.